Molecule: transfer RNA, 65 nt
Filed under: human gut metagenome
Rfam family: tRNA
About the family: Transfer RNA (tRNA) molecules are approximately 80 nucleotides in length. Their secondary structure includes four short double-helical elements and three loops (D, anti-codon, and T loops). Further hydrogen bonds mediate the characteristic L-shaped molecular structure. tRNAs have two regions of fundamental functional importance: the anti-codon, which is responsible for specific mRNA codon recognition, and the 3' end, to which the tRNAs corresponding amino acid is attached (by aminoacyl-tRNA synthetases). tRNAs cope with the degeneracy of the genetic code in two manners: having more than one tRNA (with a specific anti-codon) for a particular amino acid; and 'wobble' base-pairing, i.e. permitting non-standard base-pairing at the 3rd anti-codon position.
Source: RNAcentral
CGGUAGCUCAGAUGGAUAGAGCACCUGACUUCUAAUCAGGUGGUCGUGGGUUCGACUCCCGCCCG